RNAcentral lists this long non-coding RNA (1050 nucleotides) under Brassica napus (rape). RNAcentral's name for it is "long non-coding RNA (BNAP_LNC021861)". Lineage: Eukaryota; Viridiplantae; Streptophyta; Magnoliopsida; Brassicales; Brassicaceae. The record is from RNAcentral.
GUGACUGAAAGUCAAGAUUCAGUUUGUGAUGAUAGAAAGACUAAAUGCUAGUUACUGAUUGAUACGAACUGAUGACAAAACAAGUUGUAACUUUAAUUUGUAGUACAUUAUUAAAAAAAUCUAUUAUUAAAAAAUCUAUUAAUCUUUUAUUCUGAACGGUAUACUAUUAUAAACCAAAGUUUAGUAUAACAUGGAAGAAGCAUUACAUAAAGCAGAUUUUGCCAAAAGAAUCUGCUAUCAUAUUUUGCUUUCCAGGGAUGAAAAAAAAAAAUAGAUGAAGCUAAAAGAAGAAGAUAUCUGUGAGAACACACUAUAGAGCUUUUAGCUGAUAGAAUUUUGAGAUGAUAAUUAGGAUGAGCUCUUGAAAGUCAUAACGCAUCCAAACUUUGAAAAGGUAUAAUUGUUGUACUGAUGACAGAGCUGCACGGAGAGCAAGUACUUCCACCAUUAAAAGCAAAGAAACCUAAGACACUGACUCUGAACAAUUGACGAGCAGCUCCCAUUGAGUAGGGUCAAAAACCCAAAAAAUCUAGAGAAAUUGUUUAAAGUAAGUCUUAAUCAAAAUACCUUCACAUUUGAAAUUAAGAUUUAGUGAUUAUUGUUUAGGGUUUAGUAUUUAGGGGUUAGGUUUGGUUUAUAAACUUCUAUUAGUAUUUUUUUUUAAAAUUCUUAAUUAUUUAUAAAUAAUUUUUGAGAGUUAAUAUAAUUAUUUUAAUCACAAAUUUAAGGUAUUUAUGAAAAUAAUUAUCCUUUAAAAAUAAAUUUGAAAAAUGGUAUCAAACUUGUUAAAAUUGAUAUUCUCCCAAAAAUCUAUUAAUUUAUUAACUUUUUAUUUAAUUAUAAUUAUUUGAUGAAAACUUGUCACAAACUAUUAGAAGAUAAAAAAAAUUCUUAAAAACAAUGAAAUUUUAUAACAAAUUUUCAAACAAAGUCUAAUCAUGAUUAUUCUCAAAUCUAACACGUAUAAUAGUUAUAAAAUUUUAAGAUUCUGUGUAAAUUUAUUUUGGGAUUAAAAAUAUUAGUAAGUAGGGGUUAUUGGUUCUAGUAUUU